CUGCCCACUUUUUAAUCAGAUUGUGUUUUAGCUAUUGAGUUGCAUCAAUUGUUCACAUAUUUUGGAUGUUAAGUAUAUGACGAUAUCAAGUAUAUGAUCUGCAAGUAUCUUCUAUUCUGUAUCUUAUCAGUUUUAACAGAGACCACAUACCUGGCCCUAGGAGAAGCCCAGAGAACAUAAAGAUGAGGAGAACCCAGUUUCUGUGUUUGGGUCUAAUGGAAAAAGCAAAGGACUACUAUAAAGCUAAUUACACAGUGCUUGCCACGAAGAAAAUGAUCAAUAGAGCUUGACUUCCACCAAUAUGGACAACUGUCUUUGGGCUACAUCCGGUCCUUCAUGCCCUUACCUGGCCUGGUGAAGAGUACUUCCACACUGACCUCAGGGAAACAGAGGUUUCAGAGAAUUACCUGUAGGUUGUAUCAACACUUAGGUUGGCUGCUGCUAGCUCUGAUGGAGGUAUCCAUGCAGGUAAGGUGUUCCCAGCAACCCAUUUUGUCCAUUCAAAUAAGCCAGGCUCCA
Bubalus bubalis (water buffalo) is the source of this 519-nucleotide long non-coding RNA. RefSeq lists it as uncharacterized. The transcript is spliced from 4 exons. The record is from RefSeq and is a predicted model, not a curated record. NCBI's taxonomy places the organism in Eukaryota, Metazoa, Chordata, Mammalia, Artiodactyla, Bovidae.